RNAcentral lists this ribosomal RNA (303 nucleotides) under uncultured bacterium. RNAcentral's name for it is "bacterial SSU rRNA". It matches the Rfam family "Bacterial small subunit ribosomal RNA", at positions 355 to 675 of the family's 1533-position model. The record is from RNAcentral.
UGGGGGAUAUUGCACAAUGGGGGGAACCCUGAUGCAGCAACGCCGCGUGGGUGAAGGAGUACCCCGGUACGUAAAGCCCUAUCGGCAGGGAAGAAGAUGACGGUACCUGACUAAGAAGCCCCGGCUAACUACGUGCCAGCAGCCGCGGUAAUACGUAGGGGGCAAGCGUUAUCCGGAUUUACUGGGUGUAAAGGGAGCGCAGACGGCAGUGCAAGUCUGGAGUGAAAGCCCGGGGCUCAACCCCGGGACUGCUUUGGAAACUGCAUAGCUGGAGUGCUGGAGAGGCAAGCGGAAUUCCUAGUG